CCAUUUCCUUCGCCCCGCCCCCACGUUCAUUCCUGAAGCCCCCGCCACGCCUGGGUCGCAGCCAAUUAGAAUUAUGGGCGGAGCCCACACGUGCCUCGCCCCGCCCAUCGACCCGGAACACCGGCCACAGCCUCAGUCAGGACUACAUUUCACAGAAGGGUGGUUGUCGUAACCGGAAACGGCCUUCCCUGGGAACUCCCGGAAAGGUCCCGCCCCUCGGCCUUGUCCCAGGCCUUGGAGAAGCUCGCCGGAAGCUCUUCCGGGCUGAGCCUGCUUUGCGCCGGCGCAGUUUCACCCGGGGCCCGGAUCGCCGUGGAGAUGGGAAUUGUUAGGUCCCAGGCCAGCCUCCUGCCCUGGGAUCCUUCUCUCUCCCCAGCUCACUGUGUAGAGGAUCAAGGCCUGACUUAGCA
Molecule: long non-coding RNA, 410 nt
Filed under: Phascolarctos cinereus (koala)
Lineage: Eukaryota; Metazoa; Chordata; Mammalia; Diprotodontia; Phascolarctidae
Description: lncRNA (ENSPCIG00000031323.1)
Source: RNAcentral